Molecule: ribosomal RNA, 301 nt
Filed under: uncultured bacterium
Lineage: Bacteria
Description: partial 16S ribosomal RNA
Rfam family: Bacterial small subunit ribosomal RNA
Source: RNAcentral
CAGCCGCCACGGUAAUACGGAGGGUGCAAGCGUUAAUCGGAAUUACUGGGCGUAAAGCGCACGCAGGCGGUCUGACAAGUCAGAUGUGAAAUCCCCGGGCUUAACCUGGGAACUGCAUUUGAAACUGUCAGGCUGGAGUCUUGUAGAGGGGGGUAGAAUUCCAGGUGUAGCGGUGAAAUGCGUAGAGAUCUGGAGGAAUACCGGUGGCGAAGGCGGCCCCCUGGACAAAGACUGACGCUCAGGUGCGAAAGCGUGGGGAGCAAACAGGAUUAGAUACCCGGGUAUCCUGUCUCUUAUACAC